GGACGUGUAGUUUAGCGGCAAAACACGGUGCCUAUGACACCUAGCCCUGGGUUCAAAUCCCAGCAUGUCUA
Molecule: non-coding RNA, 71 nt
Organism: Baffinella frigidus
Lineage: Eukaryota; Cryptophyceae; Cryptomonadales; Baffinellaceae
Source: the annotation of a GenBank genome assembly